GUAACACGUAGAUAAUCUAUCCUACACUGGGGGAUAGCCCGAUGAAAGUUGGAUUAAUACCGCAUAUAGCUAUAUAGUUGCAUGAUUAUGUAGUGAAAGAUUUAUUGGUAUAGGAGGAGUCUGCGGCACAUUAGCUAGUAGGUGAGGUAAAGGCUUACCUAGGCGACGAUGUGUAGCCGGUCUGAGAGGAUGAACGGCCACAAUGGAACUGAGACACGGUCCAUACUCCUACGGGAGGCAGCAGUGGGGAAUAUUGCACAAUGGGGGAAACCCUGAUGCAGCAACGCCGCGUGAGUGAAGAAGGUUUUCGGAUUGUAAAGCUCUGUUAGCAGGGAAGAGGAAGGACGGUACCUGCAGAGGAAGCCACGGCUAACUACGUGCCAGCAGCCGCGGUAAUACGUAGGUGGCAAGCGUUGUUCGGAAUAACUGGGCGUAAAGGAUGCGUAGGCGGUUAAACAAGUUAUAUGUUAAAUAUAUAGGCUUAACCUGUAGAAAGCAUAUAAAACUGUUUAACUAGAGUGCAGGAGAGGUAAGUGGAAUUCCUAGUGUGGCGGUGAAAUGCGUAGAGAUUAGGAAGAACACCAGUGGCGAAGGCGACUUACUGGACUGUAACU
Molecule: ribosomal RNA, 614 nt
Filed under: uncultured bacterium
Lineage: Bacteria
Description: bacterial SSU rRNA
Rfam family: Bacterial small subunit ribosomal RNA
Source: RNAcentral